This 520-nucleotide ribosomal RNA is filed under the name uncultured Entrophospora. Its description in RNAcentral is "SSU rRNA". It matches the Rfam family "Eukaryotic small subunit ribosomal RNA", at positions 569 to 1083 of the family's 1831-position model. The record is from RNAcentral. Lineage: Eukaryota; Fungi; Glomeromycota; Glomeromycetes; Entrophosporales; Entrophosporaceae.
AGCAGCCGCGGUAAUUCCAGCUCCAAUAGCGUAUAUUAAAGUUGUUGCAGUUAAAAAGCUCGUAGUUGAAUUUCGGGAUUGGCGCAUCGGUCGUGCCUCACGGGGUAUGAACUGGUGCAGUCAAUUUCUCACCUUCUGGAGAACCGCGAUGUCCUUAAUUGGGUGCCGCGGGGAACCAGGACCUUUACUUUGAAAAAUUAGAGUGUUUAAAGCAGGCAUUUUUGCUUGAAUACAUUAGCAUGGAAUAAUAAAAUAGGACGGCAUGGUUCUAUUUUGUUGGUUUCUAGGACCACCGUAAUGAUUAAUAGGGAUAGUUGGGGGCAUUAGUAUUCAAUUGUCAGAGGUGAAAUUCUUGGAUUUAUGAAGACUAACUACUGACGAAAGCAUUUGCCAAGGAUGUUUUCAUUAAUCAAGAACGAAAGUUAGGGGAUCGAAGACGAUCAGAUACCGUCGUAGUCUUAACCAUAAACUAUAGCCGACUAGGAAUCAGACGAUGUUAAUUUUUAAUGUACUCGUUGCU